GAUGAACGCUGGCGGCGUGCUUAACACAUGCAAGUCGAACGGAAAGGCCUCUGCUUGCAGGGGUACUCGAGUGGCGAACGGGUGAGUAACACGUGGGUGAUCUGCCCUGCACUUCGGGAUAAGCCUGGGAAACUGGGUCUAAUACCGGAUAGGACAAUGGUUUGGAUGCUGUUGUGGAAAGUUUUUCGGUGUGGGAUGAGCUCGCGGCCUAUCAGCUUGUUGGUGGGGUAAUGGCCUACCAAGGCGUCGACGGGUAGCCGGCCUGAGAGGGUGUACGGCCACAUUGGGACUGAGAUACGGCCCAGACUCCUACGGGAGGCAGCAGUGGGGAAUAUUGCACAAUGGGCGCAAGCCUGAUGCAGCGACGCCGCGUGGGGGAUGACGGCCUUCAGGUUGUAAACUCCUUUCGCUAGGGACGAAGCGUUUUUGUGACGGUACCUGGAGAAGAAGCACCGGCUAACUACGUG
This 467-nucleotide ribosomal RNA is filed under the name uncultured bacterium. RNAcentral describes it as "partial 16S ribosomal RNA". It matches the Rfam family "Bacterial small subunit ribosomal RNA", at positions 28 to 507 of the family's 1533-position model. The record is from RNAcentral.